UGCCUAUUGAUACUCCAUACUAGGUAAGUCCUGCCCAAUGAACACGUUUUAAAUGGCCGCGGGAACCCGUGCAAAGGUAGCGUAAUCAUUUGCCCUUUAAUUCAGGGCCUGUAUGAACGGAUCAACGAGAAAGAAGCUGUCUCCAGACAAGUCACUAAAACCUAUCCUUCAGGUGAAAAGACCUGAAUAACCAUAGAAGACAAAAAGACCCUGUCGCACUUAACCUAAUAUUAAUAACUUACUAAUCAAAUUAAUCAAAGGUUUGGUUGGGGCGACCCCAGAUACACUAAAACAUCUCUAUACCAACAGGUACACCAACCCAUUUUCAUGAUCCUAAAAAGACUAAAGAAUAAGCCACCGCAGGGAUAACAGGCUAAUCCCCUCUUAGAGCCCUAAUCGACGAGGGGGGUUGGCACCUCGAUGUUGGCUUAGGGUAACCUUUAGGCGCAGCCGUCUUAAAAGGAAGGUUUGUUCAACCUACUCCACCCU
Molecule: ribosomal RNA, 489 nt
Filed under: Echiuroidea sp. RCMB023
Lineage: Eukaryota; Metazoa; Annelida; Polychaeta; Echiuroidea
Description: partial 16S ribosomal RNA
Rfam family: Bacterial large subunit ribosomal RNA
Source: RNAcentral